Molecule: long non-coding RNA, 911 nt
Organism: Homo sapiens (human)
Lineage: Eukaryota; Metazoa; Chordata; Mammalia; Primates; Hominidae
Gene: SCAT1
Product: S-phase cancer associated transcript 1
Source: Ensembl
ACUUCCUGUUGUGUGGCCCAGACAGGGCACUGUCUGUGGCCCCAGGGGUUGAGGACCCCUGGCUUUAACAACAGAAAGGUACCAUCUUACAGUUCUGGAGGCCAAAGUCUGAUAUCCAGGUGUCUGCAGGGUUGAUCCCUUCUGAGGCUACCCCAGUUACUGGAUUGGGAUCCACCCUCACUCAAUAUGGCCUCAGCUUAAUGAAAGACAUCUGCAGAGACCCUAUUUCUACUAAAAGCCACAUUCUGAGACUUCUCGUGGGCGUGAGUUUUUGAGAGACACUGUUCUGCUCCAUGCAGGGAGGGAAUUGGGAUCUGAAGACGUUGCAUUCGAGGUCUCGGGGCUCCUGAUGAGCAGCCUCGGCCUGACCUGGGGCAGGUGUGAUGUCUGCGGCUCACCAUCUCCACCCUGCCUGCUGUGGAAUCUCCACAACGACAGGUGCUUUGGAGGCCAGAGUGCAUGCGUACGGGCCCUGCACACGCUGAAUGUCACUGGGAACAAGGACACACCCCGCUUCCAGGAGAAGAUAGAACAUGUCGACCCCUUUUAGCCAUCCCCAGUGCAGGACAUGCUAUUGACUUCCAUGAGACAAACACCUACUUGGAAAUCAGGUUUUUUCUGUACCUUUUGAAGGAGCAGGAAUUUCCCAGCAUUUCCUGGACAAAGACGGAGGCCACAUUCGCUGCAUCCUUUCCAGCAAGAUGUCAUUCUGAGAUUUUUGUCAUUCCUGGGCGUUAUGAGGACUGCCAAGGGACACAAUUCCAUGGGAGGAAAGUUUUCUUCUAAGCUGCAAGCCAGCUCUGGCUUCUGGAGUUUCUCCUUAGGAUUGCAAGACAGUAGUUCCCUGUCCUUUAGGUCUUCUCCAGAAAUACCUUAAAAUAGCAAAUAAAAUAAGAUAUAAGCAAACAAAA